AAGUCGUAACAAGGUUUCCGUAGGUGAACCUGCGGAAGGAUUAUUACCACGUAUCCAAACGUUAAAACCCCCCCCCGUGAACAUUGAUUCCUGCUCUUGUAACCCGCGAAGCUUGCAAUCUCUGGUAAAUCAUAGCCCGGAAAGUAGUUUUGAUUCAGAGACCUCUGGCAAUUGGAACGGUUACAAUUCGAGCGGUAGUUCUAUAGGCCCUGUUUCCCCAAGCAGUCAGUGUCUGAAAGUGUCAGUGAUUGUGCAAGGAUAACGCUUCACGAUUGUUGUAGACCGCACCUCGCGGGCAGGAGCUAGGCCAAAGGGUCCCCAUGCCCCCUUACAACCCCACAGUUAAAUGUCAAGCUCAAUGUAAUACAUUAGGUAAAAAACCGAACAACUGUUCACAAUGGAUAUCUUGUUUCUC
RNAcentral lists this unclassified non-coding RNA (415 nucleotides) under fungal sp. RNAcentral describes it as "partial internal transcribed spacer region". The stretch from base 1 to 46 matches the Rfam family "Eukaryotic small subunit ribosomal RNA", at positions 1786 to 1831 of the family's 1831-position model. The record is from RNAcentral. Lineage: Eukaryota; Fungi.